GUAUGGUGCAAGCGUUAUCCGGAUUUACUGGGUGUAAAGGGAGCGUAGACGGCUGUGUAAGUCUGAAGUGAAAGCCCGGGGCUCAACCCCGGGACUGCUUGGAAACUAUGCAGCUAGAGUGUCGGAGAGGUAAAUGGAAUUCCCAGUGUAGCGGUGAAAUGCGUAGAUAUUGGGAGGAACACCAGUGGCGAAGGCGGCUUACUGGACGAUGACUGACGUUGAGGCUCGAAAGCGUGGGGAGCAAACAGGAUUAGAUACCCUGGUAGUCCACGCCGUAAACGAUGACUACCAGGUGUCGGGGAGCAAAGCUCUUCGGUGCCGCAGCAAACGCAAUAAGUAGUCCACCUGGGGAGUACGUUCGCAAGAAUG
This 369-nucleotide ribosomal RNA is filed under the name uncultured bacterium. RNAcentral's name for it is "bacterial SSU rRNA". It matches the Rfam family "Bacterial small subunit ribosomal RNA", at positions 527 to 896 of the family's 1533-position model. The record is from RNAcentral.